This 178-nucleotide RNase P RNA is filed under the name Lachnoclostridium sp. RNAcentral describes it as "partial RNase P RNA component class A". It matches the Rfam family "Bacterial RNase P class A", at positions 174 to 367 of the family's 367-position model. Rfam says of the family: Ribonuclease P (RNase P) is a ubiquitous endoribonuclease, found in archaea, bacteria and eukarya as well as chloroplasts and mitochondria. Its best characterised activity is the generation of mature 5'-ends of tRNAs by cleaving the 5'-leader elements of precursor-tRNAs. Lineage: Bacteria; Bacillati; Bacillota; Clostridia; Lachnospirales; Lachnospiraceae. The record is from RNAcentral.
ACCACCGCCCUUCUGGUAACAGGAGGGGUCCAUGUAAACCCCAUCCGAAGCAAGACCGAACAGGGAGCAUAAGGCGGCCCGUCUGCUCCCGGGUAGGUCGCUUGAGCCUGCUGGUGACGGCAGGCCUAGAUAGAUGGCCAUUCAACGACAUAACCCGGCUUAUCGUCUUGCUCAAAAC